GACGGUUUCCUCCCUCAAGUGGCUUGGCUAUAAGUGCAAAGUUUGUUUAGGGGUCUGGCACAAAUCCUGCCUUGCAAAAUUGGCAAAUCAGAAUUGUCACCAGUCAACACAGAAAGAAGAAAUUUCUGAAUAUUCAGGGGAGGAUGGAUUGCCACAUUCAGUUCUGGAUCAAAUAUCAAGCGAUGAUGAUGGCAACCACAGCAUAUCAGAAGAAGAAUAUGUGCCAGAUUCAGAGUCAUAUGAUGAAGAUUCAGAUAAAGACAUCUCAUUAUUGCCAAGCACAUCAAAAGGUCUGCUAUGCCAAGAUGACAUCUCCAAAGCGCAUGAACAAUCAGAUUCAACAAAUUUAAUCCACAACUUGACAAAAGACAAGCCAGAAGAUAAAAGUGAGCUUUGCGAAACUGAAUCAGAAAAAAUGACUUUAAGUAAAAGAAAUUA
Molecule: long non-coding RNA, 438 nt
Organism: Oreochromis aureus
Lineage: Eukaryota; Metazoa; Chordata; Actinopteri; Cichliformes; Cichlidae
Exons: 3
Source: RefSeq, a predicted model, not a curated record